UCUAUCUUUCUCCUUUUCCCUCACCUCCACUCCAUUUCAGUCUCUGCUUGAAAAAAAUUCACGACUCUCACUUCUGCUAUACCCAAAACACCAACACUAUGAGAAAACCAUUAAAAACUAUUUUCUCUUCAAUUUUUCCCUGAAAACCAUUUUCUCUUCAGUCUUCUCUUGAAAUCCUACCACCAUUAAACCUUCGAGAGAAUUCUUUCUCCGGAUUAUAUUUUUCUUCAAUCCUUCUCUUCAAACCCACCACUAUUUUCACUUCAAUAUUCCUCGUGCUUGAUUUUCUACUGGAAAAGUUAGGGUUUGAAAUUGUUUGGGGUGAUUCAUUAAGAAGAUCAUGUUGUCUGUGGUUUCUAAUUUUUUUAGGUGAUUAGCCAAAUCAUGUUUAGUUAUUCUCAAGAUUUUAUGAUUUUGGUUUUGAUUGGUCUAGAUUCAGUGCAAUCUGAGGAUUAAUUAGGUUGUUCAUGAAUUAUUUAUUUUUGGGAAUUUUUGAUGAAUCUGAGCAUUGGUUUGUGUUUUUAUGUAUUGAUUUUGAUUUAAGUUGUUGAUUUUGAUUGGGGUUCAACUUUUUAUUUUCUUCCCGAUCUGCUCAACAUGCAAUAAUUGAGCCUCAGAAUCUGAAUGACAGCGUUAUGUGAUCUUCAAGAAGGUAAUAUAACCUCAUUUAACACGUGUUUUUCACCCCUCGGUGUGUUAUUGGACUUACAAUAUUGUUUAUUUAUAUUCUAAAGGUCUAAAGGUUCUGAAGAAUAGAUCUAAUACAUGGAGCUCAACUGGUUAUUUAAUGCAUUUUUUACUGACACGUAAUAAGUAUUUCUCGUAGCUUAACUGGGUGGAAAUUUUUUCCAAGUCUAGAUUUUAGUUUAUGUUUUUUUCUUCAGUUUUUUUAAAAAAGAAUUUACAGGGACAGAUUGAGAAAUGGCAGGACGAGAUUAAGCAGCUGAGGUCACUGGAUGUGAUGAAUGAAGAAGCAAAUACGCGUCUUCAUAUGAAUCUCUCACUGUUCUGGGAUGUUCAGAUUUGAUCCUCCUUGAUAAGUCAUUCUGGUGUUUUCACUGUUUCUGAUGCUAUCAAUAAAAUUAGAUUACACCAACCUAAAUUGCACUGUUAUAAAAAGAUCCUGAAUCCUGCAGUACUUCCUUCAACUUCUGCAAAUGUUUAGAAGAUUACUAGAAAUGUGUGUGCAACAGAAGAGAACUUGAGGAAGAAGGGAUUUCAGUUUGCUUCAAGAUGCUACAUUUGCCAUGAUGAUGAAGAUAAUAUAGAGCAUGUUAUAUGGAAAUGUGAUUUCAGUACCAGAUUGUGGAAUUGGCUUUCAGGUAUCUUUUUAUCUCCCAAACCUAACUCUUUUGAGGAUAUUUUGAAAAUACAUAAAAGCUCUAGCCCUGUGAUAAAGAAUUGUGGAUUAUCAGCUCCUACACUGCCAUGGUUGAGUUAUGGUUUCUAAGAAAUGAUAUUUUUUAUGAUGAUGAGAAGCCAAUCUUAAUCAAAAUUCAACAAAAAAUUGUUAGAAAAAUCCAUGAUUGUGAAGCUAGACUGUAAGGUGUUAUGUGGGGAAAUGAUAUUGAGAAAUCAAUCUUACAAUUUUUUAAUAUCCAAGUCAGGAAAAUAAGAAGAACAAGGAUUGUUGAAAUUUUUUUUUAUCUGCCAAAUGAGAAUGAACUGUUAUUAUGUUGUGAUGGGGCUUCUAGAGGAAAUCCAGGCAUUGCAGGCUAUGGUUUUGUAGUAAGGAACCAUAUUGGUGCUUUCAUCUUAGCAGAGGCUGGUGGCUUGGGAAUCAAAACUAACUUUGUAGCAGAAUUCAUCUCUUAUAUCAAGGCUUUAGAAUGGGCAGUUGAGUAUUUCUCUUUCAAGUUAGUUCUGCAAUCUGAUUCUAGUAUGUGUGCAAAAG
This is a long non-coding RNA of Papaver somniferum (opium poppy), 1894 nucleotides long. RefSeq lists it as uncharacterized. The transcript has 2 exons. The record is from RefSeq and is a predicted model, not a curated record. NCBI's taxonomy places the organism in Eukaryota, Viridiplantae, Streptophyta, Magnoliopsida, Ranunculales, Papaveraceae.